GGUCAGUGUGUUUCUUCUAGGCUGAGAUGCUCAGGCUGUACUCUGAGGUUUGGGGACUUUUGGUCUGAUGGUCCUGGUACUUCAGGCUGCUAAGAACAUUCAGAAAUUACGCUCUGGGGUCAGUCCCAGGAAAACUAGUUUUUACUAAACAAAUAGCUUUUCUCUUAAAGAUAUGAUAAAUCAUGCUAUUAAUUUUUUUCUUAGUUUUAAUUAAUUGCUAAGAAGCAUAGAGCCACAUUUGUAGAACAGCAGCAUUUCUGAUUCUCUUUUCUGUUCCCUGCUCUUAUUUCUUCACUUCCUUUGUCUUUCUAAAUCUUCUUUAUUUUGUAAGCAGUAUAAAGUAUUCCUGGAACAUGGCCCAGAAAGCAAAUAAUUACAAUAGUCAUGGCAAAAUACAAUGGGGCAGAUUUUGGCAAGUUACAUGAUAGAUUUAGUCUGAUCCUU
This 444-nucleotide long non-coding RNA is filed under the name Bos taurus (domestic cattle). Its description in RNAcentral is "long non-coding RNA NONBTAT019409". Lineage: Eukaryota; Metazoa; Chordata; Mammalia; Artiodactyla; Bovidae. The record is from RNAcentral.